UGGCUGCGGUAUUUUGACCGUACAAAGGUAGCAUAAUCAUUAGUUUAUUAAUUGUAAACUUGUAUGAAUGGUUUAACGAAAUAUUGACUGUCUCAUAUUUAAUAUUAUAAUUUAAAUUUUUAGUUAAAAUGCUAAAAUAUUUUUAUAGGACGAGAAGACCCUAUAGAUCUUUAUAAUUUAUUAGUUUUUUUUAUUUAGUUUAUUUUUUAUAAAAUUGUUUUAUUUUUUUGUUGGGGUGACAUGAAGAUAUAAUUAACUCUUUAUAUUUAUAUUCAAUUAUUUUUGUUUAUUUGACCUUUUAUUAAUGUUAUAAGAUAUAGAUACCUUAGGGAUAACAGCGUAAUUCUUUUUGAGAGUUCAUAUCGACAAGAGAGAUUGCGACCUCGAUGUUGGAUUAAGAUUAUAUUUAGGUGUAGUUGCUUAAUUAUUAAGUCUGUUCGACUUUUAAAUUCUUACAUGAUCUGAGUUCAAAACCGGAG
Molecule: ribosomal RNA, 479 nt
Filed under: Centrophasma hadrillum
Lineage: Eukaryota; Metazoa; Arthropoda; Insecta; Phasmatodea; Lonchodidae
Description: partial 16S ribosomal RNA
Rfam family: Bacterial large subunit ribosomal RNA
Source: RNAcentral